Molecule: non-coding RNA, 29 nt
Filed under: Mus musculus (house mouse)
Lineage: Eukaryota; Metazoa; Chordata; Mammalia; Rodentia; Muridae
Source: RNAcentral
UGUUGGUUGGUUGUUAUCUGAUCUCAUGG